Molecule: long non-coding RNA, 741 nt
Organism: Rosa chinensis
Lineage: Eukaryota; Viridiplantae; Streptophyta; Magnoliopsida; Rosales; Rosaceae
Exons: 4
Source: RefSeq, a predicted model, not a curated record
GGUUCAAAAGUGCAUGCUUUUCCUCUGCUUAUGUGGCUAUGAUGUUCUCAGCAUAGAGUUAACUUUUAUGUAAUCUGCCAAUGUAUAUUGAUACAACUCACUUGGUCUUGGAAGUUCAGCAAUUGCUUCCUGAUGCUCUUUCUUUAUGUCAGAAAACUAUCUCACAAGAUCUGGAGUUGGAAUCACUUUUUCUAGGCAUGUCUCCAUGAUCUGGAGUUGGAGAAUGGUAUUGCUAUUCUGAAUAAAGGUUCUGCCAUUGGUAUUGGAUUUGGAACUUUGGGAUCGAACCUACUUUAGCUACACUUACAUAGGAUCUAGAAAGAAUAAGGGGAUUGAGUUUAUGCUUUCGGUCAGCGGAGGCAGCAUUCUAUCAUGGAUUGGACAUGAUUAUUUUGUUGUGGAUGAUAAGACUGCUGCACAUCAUGAGGCAGUAGGAAACCUAUUACUUCAGAUGGCUGUCAAUUCAUAUAUGUCAUGAUAUAUGUGUUCCUGCUGUGAGAAAUUGGGUGAGGACCUUCUCUUCCUUACUCUCACUUCUAGCUUUGUAAUCAAGACUAAAUAGUGAGAUCUUUUCUAUUCCAUUUCAGUAGAAUAUUUGCUUAAACUAUGUUAUAUGCCUCACUAAUGUAUAAAAAUAAAUUACCUAAGUGUUUGUUUAUCAUUCUGCUAUUGGUUGAUUUGGCUUUUGGAUAGUGUGUUUGAGGUAUAUUAGAUUUGGUAUUGUUUCAUUUGGUUUUGACA